AUCCUUUUGUAGUUCCUAAGUGUGAUGGUUGGGUUUUCACACUCAUAUGUGAGAUAUGCCUCCCUCAAACCUUAUUACCACCUGGGCACAUUACCCAUCUGAUG
This is a small nucleolar RNA of Macaca fascicularis (crab-eating macaque), 104 nucleotides long. The record is from Ensembl. NCBI's taxonomy places the organism in Eukaryota, Metazoa, Chordata, Mammalia, Primates, Cercopithecidae.